AGUGAACGCUGGCGGUAGGCCUAACACAUGCAAGUCGAACGGCAGCACAGGAGAGCUUGCUCUCUGGGUGGCGAGUGGCGGACGGGUGAGGAAUACAUCGGAAUCUACUUUUUCGUGGGGGAUAACGUAGGGAAACUUACGCUAAUACCGCAUACGACCUACGGGUGAAAGCAGGGGAUCUUCGGACCUUGCGCGAUUGAAUGAGCCGAUGUCGGAUUAGCUAGUUGGCGGGGUAAAGGCCCACCAAGGCGACGAUCCGUAGCUGGUCUGAGAGGAUGGUCAGCCACACUGGAACUGAGACACGGUCCAGACUCCUACGGGAGGCAGCAGUGGGGAAUAUUGGACAAUGGGCGCAAGCCUGAUCCAGCCAUACCGCGUGGGUGAAGAAGGCCUUCGGGUUGCAAAGCCCUUUUGUUGGGAAAGAAAUCCAGCUGGCUAAUACCCGGUUGGGAUGACGGUACCCAAAGAAUAAGCACCGGCUAACUUCGUGCCAGCCGCCGCAGUAA
RNAcentral lists this ribosomal RNA (506 nucleotides) under uncultured bacterium. Its description in RNAcentral is "partial 16S ribosomal RNA". It matches the Rfam family "Bacterial small subunit ribosomal RNA", at positions 29 to 523 of the family's 1533-position model. The record is from RNAcentral.